GACAAGCGGUGGAGCAUGUGGUUUAAUUCGAUGCAACGCGAAGAACCUUACCUGGUCUUGACAUCCACAGAACUUUCCAGAGAUGGAUUGGUGCCUUCGGGAACUGUGAGACAGGUGCUGCAUGGCUGUCGUCAGCUCGUGUUGUGAAAUGUUGGGUUAAGUCCCGCAACGAGCGCAACCCUUAUCCUUUGUUGCCAGCGGUCCGGCCGGGAACUCAAAGGAGACUGCCAGUGAUAAACUGGAGGAAGGUGGGGAUGACGUCAAGUCAUCAUGGCCCUUACGACCAGGGCUACACACGUGCUACAAUGGUCGGUACAACGAGAAGCAAGCCAGCGAUGGCAAGCAAAUCUCUAAAAGCCGAUCCCAGUUCGGAUUGCAGGCUGCAACUCGCCUGCAUGAAGUCGGAGUUGCUAGUAAUCGCGGAUCAGAAUGCCGCGGUGAAUGCGUUCCCGGGUCUU
RNAcentral lists this ribosomal RNA (458 nucleotides) under uncultured Enterobacteriaceae bacterium. Its description in RNAcentral is "bacterial SSU rRNA". It matches the Rfam family "Bacterial small subunit ribosomal RNA", at positions 924 to 1382 of the family's 1533-position model. The record is from RNAcentral. Lineage: Bacteria; Pseudomonadati; Pseudomonadota; Gammaproteobacteria; Enterobacterales; Enterobacteriaceae.